AUUGAACGCUGGCGGCAUGCCUUACACAUGCAAGUCGAACGGCAGCACGGGUGCUUGCACCUGGUGGCGAGUGGCGAACGGGUGAGUAAUACAUCGGAACAUGUCCUGUAGUGGGGGAUAGCCCGGCGAAAGCCGGAUUAAUACCGCAUACGAUCUACGGAUGAAAGCGGGGGACCUUCGGGCCUCGCGCUAUAGGGUUGGCCGAUGGCUGAUUAGCUAGUUGGUGGGGUAAAGGCCUACCAAGGCGACGAUCAGUAGCUGGUCUGAGAGGACGACCAGCCACACUGGGACUGAGACACGGCCCAGACUCCUACGGGAAGCAGCAGUGGGGAAUUUUGGACAAUGGGCGAAAGCCUGAUCCAGCAAUGCCGCGUGUGUGAAGAAGGCCUUCGGGUUGUAAAGCACUUUUGUCCGGAAAGAAAUCCUUGGCCCUAAUACGGUCGGGGGAUGACGGUACCGGAAGAAUAAGCACCGGCUAACUACGUG
RNAcentral lists this ribosomal RNA (486 nucleotides) under uncultured bacterium. Its description in RNAcentral is "partial 16S ribosomal RNA". It matches the Rfam family "Bacterial small subunit ribosomal RNA", at positions 30 to 507 of the family's 1533-position model. The record is from RNAcentral.